This 253-nucleotide ribosomal RNA is filed under the name uncultured bacterium. Its description in RNAcentral is "partial 16S ribosomal RNA". It matches the Rfam family "Bacterial small subunit ribosomal RNA", at positions 524 to 776 of the family's 1533-position model. The record is from RNAcentral.
UACGAAGGGGGCUAGCGUUGCUCGGAAUCACUGGGCGUAAAGGGUGCGUAGGCAGGUUCUUAAGUCAGAGGUGAAAUCCUGGAGCUCAACUCCAGAACUGCCUUUGAUACUGAGAGUCUUGAGUUCGGGAGAGGUGAGUGGAACUGCGAGUGUAGAGGUGAAAUUCGUAGAUAUUCGCAAGAACACCAGUGGCGAAGGCGGCUCACUGGCCCGAUACUGACGCUGAGGCACGAAAGCGUGGGGAGCAAACAGG